Molecule: long non-coding RNA, 616 nt
Organism: Carassius auratus (goldfish)
Lineage: Eukaryota; Metazoa; Chordata; Actinopteri; Cypriniformes; Cyprinidae
Exons: 5
Source: RefSeq, a predicted model, not a curated record
GACACUUGACUGGUUACUCGCCACAGCAGUUUCUGGAUGAAAGGUGUCGAGCUCGUCAAGUACUAAGCUUUACACCCCCAGCAGCAAAUUUACCCUGGCAGCAUAUGGGUGAAAACGCUGGAGGAGAAAGUCAUUGCUCUGUAAUUGGCCCUUGGACUCCCCUGGCAUCUCGUGUACAGCAUGAAGUUUUCAGCUAUGAAGGUAUAUUUUAGGCCUACUUCUUAGUGUCCAGUGUUUUAAAAGUAUUGAAAAUAGUGCCUUUAGGUGAAUUUGAAUGAAAAAUAAGCCGUGAUGAAAAACAAGGCGUGAUGGAUGAGAACCAAGCCCUUAGGCAGGAGAACCAAGCUCUGAGGGAAAGCACUGCAUGAGCAGCUUCGGAUGACAGCGGCUCACUUCAAGAGCAGGUGAAGCAAGUUGGGACAAUGUUGAAGACGUUUGCUCGCACUGGGAAAUCAGGUGCAGAUCAGACCUUAAUGCUGCGACGUCGAGAGUUUGGCGAUGUUGUGCGUAGCAUGGACAACAAAAUGGACUCUAUGCUGCAACAUUUCAGUGCCAAUGUGUCUGUUGGAGAGUUAUCCCUGCCAGGGGAUCUGUUACUCCCCCUAGACACCCAGGA